Molecule: ribosomal RNA, 881 nt
Filed under: uncultured bacterium
Lineage: Bacteria
Description: bacterial SSU rRNA
Rfam family: Bacterial small subunit ribosomal RNA
Source: RNAcentral
AGAGUUUGAUCCUGGCUCAGGAUGAACGCUGACAGAAUGCUUAACACAUGCAAGUCGACUCGAGUCUUCGGACUUGGGUGGCGCACGGGUGAGUAACGCGUAAAGAACUUGCCUCUUAGACCGGGACAACAUCUGGAAACGGAUGCUAAUACCGGAUAUUAUGGUUUCUUCGCAUGGAGGAAUCAUGAAAGCUAGAUGCGCUAAGAGAGAGCUUUGCGUCCCAUUAGCUGGUUGGUGAGGUAACGGCCCACCAAGGCAAUGAUGGGUAGCCGGCCUGAGAGGGUGAACGGCCACAAGGGGACUGAGACACGGCCCUUACUCCUACGGGAGGCAGCAGUGGGGAAUAUUGGACAAUGGACCACAAGUCUGAUCCAGCAAUUCUGUGUGCACGAUGACGUUUUUCGGAAUGUAAAGUGCUUUCAGUCGGGAAGAAGUCAGUGACGGUACCGACAGAAGAAGCGACGGCUAAAUACGUGCCAGCAGCCGCGGUAAUACGUAUGUCGCAAGCGUUAUCCGGAUUUAUUGGGCGUAAAGCGCGUCUAGGCGGCAAGGAAAGUCUGAUGUGAAAAUGCGGAGCUCAACUCCGUAUGGCGUUGGAAACUGCCUUACUAGAGUACUGGAGAGGUAGGCGGAACUACAAGUGUAGAGGUGAAAUUCGUAGAUAUUUGUAGGAAUGCCGAUGGGGAAGCCAGCCUACUGGACAGAUACUGACGCUAAAGCGCGAAAGCGUGGGUAGCAAACAGGAUUAGAUACCCUGGUAGUCCACGCUGUAAACGAUGAUUACUAGGUGUUGGGGGUCAAACCUCAGCGCCCAAGCUAACGCGAUAAGUAAUCCGCCUGGGGAGUACGUACGCAAGUAUGAAACUCAAAGGAAUUGACGG